CCCCUAGGCCCCUUCCUUCCAUAAGCCUACUCAGGACUCCACUGGGUUACUGACUACUCACCCUCCCCUCAGGUCAUCUCCUGACCCGUACACAGUUAUGUCCACCCAGGCUCUGCUUGGACACCUGUGCCUGAUGUUCACCAGGGGCCAGAUGUCGUCCUCAGGCCUGAUGUCCACCUGGGGCCUGAUGUCUGCCUUGGCCUAUGUCCCUCUUGGGGCCUUGUGUUCACCUGGGGACUGUAUCCAGCUGGGGCCUGAUGGCCUACUGGGUCUUGUUGUUCACCUAAGGCCUUGUGUCCACCUGGGGACUGGUGAUCACCUGGGGCCUGGGUGUCCACCUGAGGCCGGAGGUGCACCUAAGGCCUGAGUUUUCACCUGGGCCUGAUGAUCACCUGGGGACUGGGUGUGUGCCUUGGGUCUUUUCCCUUUUCCUGAACAGGGCUUGCAGUUUCCAAACCAGACACAAUCUCCCAGUUGGAGAAAGAAAAAGGAUCCUAGAUGAUAGUGAGACAAAUUUCAGGAAACUCCAUCCAAAUAAGUAAAUGAGAAUGAGGACAGGAUUCAUUGCAUGGUGGCAUGUGCCUGCAGUCCCAGCUACUCAGGAGGCUGAGGUGGGAGGAUCGCUUGAACUCAGGAGUUGAAGGCUGCAGUGGGUGAGGAUCACAACACUGAAUUCCAGCUGAGGUGACAGAAUGAGACCCUGUCUCUCUAAAAAACAAGCAAGCAAACAAACCAAAAACCACAAACAAACCAGACCCCUCUUAGCAGAAUACUUCCAUGAGGUAAUAAAAGAAAGAAGAAAGUGAAACGAACAAACAAUUUUACUCAAGAAACUAGUGAGAAAUCAAAGAAAUGUCCAAGAAGUAGGAUACAAGAAUUAAUCAAAACAGAUUAACAGUGGAAUAAAUAAAUGAAUCCAACUGGUUCUUUGUAAUGGAAUGUGGAAAGACAUACUCUAUUCUUCUGGAUAGGAAGAUGAAAUAUCAUAAUCAUAUCAAUGCAAGUUUUAUGCAUGCUCAAACAUGUAUAAACUAAGAAAAAAUCUGAAAGGACAGACAGCAAAAUGUUUGCAGUUUUUUUCCUCCAAGUGGUAAGAUUAAAGAACACAGACAAAAAUAGAAACUCCUCACAUGACCCACCACGAAGCCCAUCAGAUGGCAGAAUGCAGAAUCAGGUUGCAGUGGACUGAUCUUAAAACAGAUGAAGCAGUGGAGAAAAUCUUCCUGGAGCUGAUGGUAUAAUUUGCUUCUUGAAACAAUGACAGUCCAUGAAAUAAGGUGGGGAAGAUGUUUUGAACCUCUCUCAGCAGCAGAUCCCUAAAUCACAGACCCAGAACUUGGAGGAAACAGGAAACAGGAGGCCAUCUCUGCACCUCUCCAGCACUGCUCUGGUUGGUGGGCAGAAUAUCAUAAAAUCAUCACGAUUCUUAUAUCAAAAACCAAAUUCUAGACUGAUUAAAUAAUUAUUUUUUUAAAUGAGAAAAGUUAUCGUUUAUUUGAUCUUGGGCUAGGGAAGAUAUUUCCAA
This 1525-nucleotide long non-coding RNA is filed under the name Homo sapiens (human). Its description in RNAcentral is "HSALNT0388972". The record is from RNAcentral. Lineage: Eukaryota; Metazoa; Chordata; Mammalia; Primates; Hominidae.